Molecule: transfer RNA, 83 nt
Filed under: Butyricimonas virosa
Lineage: Bacteria; Pseudomonadati; Bacteroidota; Bacteroidia; Bacteroidales; Odoribacteraceae
Also listed under: 1 other name
Rfam family: tRNA
About the family: Transfer RNA (tRNA) molecules are approximately 80 nucleotides in length. Their secondary structure includes four short double-helical elements and three loops (D, anti-codon, and T loops).
Source: RNAcentral
GAGAGGUGGCAGAGUGGUCGAUUGCGGCGGUCUUGAAAACCGUUGUACUGCAAGGUACCGGGGGUUCGAAUCCCUCCCUCUCC